UACGUAGGGUGCGAGCGUUAAUCGGAAUUACUGGGCGUAAAGUGUGCGCAGGCGGCCGAGCAAGUCGAGUGUGAAAGCCCCGAGCUUAACUUGGGAAUUGCGCUCGAAACUACUUGGCUGGAGUGUGGCAGAGGAAGGUGGAAUUCCAGGUGUAGCGGUGAAAUGCGUAGAGAUCUGGAGGAACACCGAUGGCGAAGGCAGCCUUCUGGGCCAACACUGACGCUCCAUGCACGAAAGCGUGGGGAGCAAACAGG
This 254-nucleotide ribosomal RNA is filed under the name uncultured bacterium. RNAcentral describes it as "partial 16S ribosomal RNA". It matches the Rfam family "Bacterial small subunit ribosomal RNA", at positions 524 to 776 of the family's 1533-position model. The record is from RNAcentral.